Molecule: ribosomal RNA, 253 nt
Filed under: uncultured bacterium
Lineage: Bacteria
Description: partial 16S ribosomal RNA
Rfam family: Bacterial small subunit ribosomal RNA
Source: RNAcentral
UACAGAGGGUGCAAGCGUUGUUCGGAAUUACUGGGCGUAAAGCGAGUGUAGGCGGUCCGCUAAGUCGGGUGUGAAAGCCCUGGGCUCAACCCAGGAAGUGCACUCGAAACGGGCGGGCUAGAGUACUGGAGAGGUUGGUGGAAUUCUCGGUGUAGAGGUGAAAUUCGUAGAUAUCGAGAGGAACACCGGUGGCGAAGGCGGCCAACUGGACAGAUACUGACGCUGAGACUCGAAAGCGUGGGGAGCAAACAGG